This is a non-coding RNA of Pelobates cultripes (western spadefoot toad), 518 nucleotides long. Lineage: Eukaryota; Metazoa; Chordata; Amphibia; Anura; Pelobatidae. The record is from the annotation of a GenBank genome assembly.
AUUGAGGUAAAGUUGCUUUGGUGAAUAUAGUGUUCAUUUAACAAUUAGUCCAUCUGUCCAACUUGUUCUUAACUUGUUUCUGUUUUGUUUUUUUGCUUAUGGGUCUAACCUUUCACUGACAGUACAGUUGACAGCAGCAUAUCAUAGCCUAUUACCUGCUAAUCGAAUAUCUCUCUACUAUCUUAUAUUUUGCGCUCCUAUUAAUCUAUGCUGGACUAUUGGCUCUAUGUAUAUCUAUGCUGCUGCUUGCAUUCAUGACACUUGCUAUAUGUUUGUGACGGUACUCAUGAGUAAUUCUCACUGUUUCUAAUGCUAAUACAGAGUGCAGCCUUCUUACCAUACACUGACAAUGUUAAUCACCGUCUGAGUUCCUAUGAUAUGGGUUUUCUCACACACAGAUGAUUAUGCUUUACUGUUAUUGCAUGUUAUUUUACUGUAUAUUACAUUGAGUAUUCGAGUAUAUAUACUGUCAAUCUGAAUCACUAUUUUUGUCCUUGCUGAUAUGUAUUUACUUGUCU